RNAcentral lists this ribosomal RNA (490 nucleotides) under uncultured bacterium. RNAcentral describes it as "partial 16S ribosomal RNA". It matches the Rfam family "Bacterial small subunit ribosomal RNA", at positions 28 to 507 of the family's 1533-position model. The record is from RNAcentral.
GAUGAACGCUAGCUACAGGCUUAACACAUGCAAGUCGCGGGGCAGCAUGGGGGUUGCUUGCAAUCCCCGAUGGCGACCGGCGCACGGGUGAGUAACGCGUAUCCAACCUGCCCUUCACCACGGGAUAACCCGGCGAAAGUCGGACUAAUACCGUAUGUUGUCCAUUGACGGCAUCCGAUUUGGACGAAAGGUUUGGCGGUGAAGGAUGGGGAUGCGUCCGAUUAGCUGGACGGCGGGGUGACGGCCCACCGUGGCGACGAUCGGUAGGGGUUCUGAGAGGAAGGUCCCCCACACUGGAACUGAGACACGGUCCAGACUCCUACGGGAGGCAGCAGUGAGUAAUAUUGGUCAAUGAGCGUAAGCCUGAACCAGCCAAGUAGCGUGCAGGAUGACGGCCCUAUGGGUUGUAAACUGCUUUUAUGCGGGGAUAAAGUGGCCCACGUGUGGGUUUUUGCAGGUACCGCAUGAAUAAGGACCGGCUAAUUCCGUG